Molecule: non-coding RNA, 1228 nt
Organism: Podarcis muralis (Common wall lizard)
Lineage: Eukaryota; Metazoa; Chordata; Lepidosauria; Squamata; Lacertidae
Source: RefSeq, a predicted model, not a curated record
AAGACUCCUCCGCUCGUUAGGUAGAGGCAGCCCAAAGGGGGUCAACAAGCCGCUUGUGGUUUUUCAAUACACUUCCGGGAGUGGUUCAGAAAGCCCUCACGGAAUCUCCCAUGUGCGGGGCUGCGAGGGGCAGCUGCCCGCGCAAGCUAACGUGGAAAUGCCAAAGAGAUGUUUGAGGUGACUGGCUGGCAGAGCAAUCUUUUCUAAAUCAAGAUGAAUAGCUGUGUAAUGUUUUGCGGUCUUAAGGACUACUGCCACCAGGAAAGAAAGCAAAUGGUCUCCUAAUUCAGUAAUUGCAAUCACGGUCGUUGUAGGAGGCCUCAAGAAACCAACCAGAACCUUUUCUUUUUCUUUCUGUGGUUUGAAAAAUAAAAUAAAAAGGCGAGGCUCACAAAGCGAAAAAGAUACAGUAAUCCUCACUUUGUCAUCUGAAUGGCGAAGGAAGCAAAUCUUAAUUUAGCUGCCUCGUGUGUUCUCUCCUGUGGAACCUGCAUUUCUCCUUGAUGCAGCUGAGGCUUUGCCUGAAAGGGAUUAAGGAAAUCAGCCCUCGCUUUGCUCCCGGUAUUUUACAUAAUGGCGUGAAGUUUAACCAGUAAAAGUAUCAAGAGGCGGUAAUGAGGCUCUAGCAAAAGUAAUAAUUUCCACGAUUUGUGUGUGGUGUCGUAAAUUAACUUCAGAUUAAAGGAGAGAAAAGGAGAGGUUGAGUUCAGAGUGGCGUCUUGCAUGCUUAAGAGAGAUUUUGCAGAAAGCUAGAAAACUCAUGCUGGCUAGGGAGAUGUAAUGUGCGAUGGAGCAACUUAAUGGAGCCCCGAGGUUUAUUACCUGAGCUAGAUCAGUAAUGAAAGGACGUGGACCAACCUAUCCUAUUAAGGAGCAGCAAACCAUGAGAGUACAUAACGUUUGUAUCUCAAGUACUUUGUGGGGUUUUCCCCCCAGCAGCUGGAGAAAAUUCUAAUACUAGCAAGCUCCCCUUCUUUAAUAAGCCUUUGGAGAAUGUAAAUUUAGGGACAGAUGCAGAAAGGGGAAGUAGAGCCGCUAUAUGUCCUGUUCUACAGAAGAUACCGGUAGUUCUCAAUUUGACAACAUUGCCUAUUGAGACGGAAGUCCAGUCUAAGUCUGCAUUAAAGAAAAAGAACUCACAAAGGGAGAGCUGGAGAGGCCUUGAUGUUGCCCAUCAGCUCUCAGCACCUGAUAGCUGACUGAGCAGCAUAUAGUCCCCACUAUGGUG